Zingiber officinale is the source of this 1217-nucleotide RNA transcript. It is a transcript of the gene named pollen-specific leucine-rich repeat extensin-like protein 3, with no coding region annotated. The record is from RefSeq and is a predicted model, not a curated record. NCBI's taxonomy places the organism in Eukaryota, Viridiplantae, Streptophyta, Magnoliopsida, Zingiberales, Zingiberaceae. The transcript is spliced from 2 exons.
UUUCAACCAAUUAUUGAGGUAGACAUGUAAUUUCUGCUUUAUUUAUACCUAUAUCUUUGAUUGGGAGCAGUUCGUUGGGCCGAUUCCGAGGCAGUAAAAGAAAGAACAAUGGGAAAGCGAAGCCACGCUACGCAUGCCGCCCAAAAACCUCGAGUCCAACGGCGGUAGUGCUCGCCGAUUCAUCAACCCUAAUCCUGCCCAAAGCUUACCACUAGCCGCUGGCCGUGCAAUGGCCUCCGUGCGCGCGCGCGAUGCUCCGCCACCGCCGGUGAUUAGGAAGGCCGGGAGGUACACCGUUUUCAUCACCCCUCCCCCUCCCCGCACCCCGAAGCCUUGUGAGGAUUCUGGUUCGAAAAGCACGAGCCCUGAGGCCGAGCCUGUUUCCAGCCCUGAAAAGGUGGUUCUUUUACCAGAAACGACUGUCCGUUCGCCGUCGCCGAUGGCUCUGGAGGUUUCCUCACCCAUAGUUAGCGCUAGCCCUGGAAAGGUGGUCCCUUUGCUUGAGAAGGCUUCUCCUUUGCCGCCUCCGGUGCAGGUCCCGCCGCUUCAAGUCGACAAGCAGGCCGCCAAGUCAUCCGGAUCCGUGUUCGGGUUCUUCUGGGACGCCAUUACCAGAGUUCAAGAUGGUUCCCUUUUGUCCUCCAGAUUUCGAUAUUUGAUGCCUUUUUGAUGAGUUUAUGAGGGUUUCCUUGAAGCUUGUAUCUUCGGUUUGAAUUUCAGCGCAUUCAACUUGGAUGAGUGUUUAGCGGAUUGGUUCUGCUUAAACCAGUCAAAAUAUCAGUGGGCCUUGAACGAUUACUACGAUUAUACUGGAAAGAAGGAAAGGGGUAAAGGUGAUAAGUUGAAAGAAAUAGGUCGUAAUGGGCAAUCUGUAUGACACUUUGCAGCAGGUAUAUUCAGGUCACCUCUCCGCUCCAUGUUUAUCUAUCCUCUUGUGAAUCUUUUCCAUCUAUAUUUGUUGCAGAAAAGCUUCUCCGAAUUGGUUCCAAGUUUGAAGUUGUUUGGUAGUUAUAUAUGAUGCAACCGUUUUCUUGUCUGGCCCAACCGGCUCAAUGUUCCAGUAUAGCCAAUUCUAGAUCUUUUACUAGUUAUCAUUUUCAGUCAGGCUAUUCGUAGACCCAGUCACAUACUCGUGUCUAAGAAUGUCGUAGAACUCUCAUCUGAUAUCAUGCUUUGUUUAUAUAAUUGCAAGCAAUCAAAGCAAUUGUUCUUUCCCA